This 211-nucleotide long non-coding RNA is filed under the name Ricinus communis (castor bean). Its description in RNAcentral is "long non-coding RNA (RCOM_LNC001568)". The record is from RNAcentral. Lineage: Eukaryota; Viridiplantae; Streptophyta; Magnoliopsida; Malpighiales; Euphorbiaceae.
GCAAGGGACACGUUGUUAGGAAAGAAGUUGGUGAGUGGAAUUUUGGCAGAACAAGAGUUGGUCUAGAUCAUUUCGGAGAAGAUUUCUUUUACUCACGAGCGGCUGAAGACAGCUUUCAAAAAGCAGAGGAGUUAUGCGAACGCGAAGUGAGAGCACGUGGAGAUUUGUAUUAGAGAAGUAUGUAUUCGUAAGGCGUCUUAUAUGCAAGAAG